UAACAAAUUCGUGUCAGAACUUAUUACAAACACUAUAUUCACAGAAUUAUUCAAAAAAUCCUGCUUCAGAUACGCGAAUAAAACGGAGGAUCAUGUGAUAUACAGUUCUUCAUGUCAAGCACAUCGGAUAAAUCCGGCGGCGAUCUUUUCCUAAGUAGGGGCAGCAAUUUGAAAAACGAUUUCUCCGCGACUAUAUACGAGAAUAUAAUCUAGAAAAAUGCAUGUAGUGGCUUUCCGCUUUUGCUAAGACCUCGUAACACGGGGUGCGUGAAAUUGCGCUCAAGCAACGUGCACCAGCAUCCGAUCAUCGUUCCUAAUUAUUUCCAGGAUCCACAUGACCUUUUGAUAGAAGGUGCAAACUUCAUAUACAAUCUCAGCCAGACACCAACUUUGAAAAGCCUGAACGUCAGUGCGAAUCUAAAUCGAACCCCAGAAUGGCUCGUCUUUCAAGUUUCCAUCGGACGAUUACUGGAGAUGCCACGCAAGAUUCUACACAGCAACGAUCUAUCAUCUGUGUGGGACUUGCAAGAUGGACCCAGCGACUGACAAGAUGGCCGUUGUGGAUCACAGACUUAAAGUACACGGAAUUAAGGGACUGCGAGUGGUUGACGCGUCGAUUAUACCGAAUAUUACCUCUGGAAACACGAAUGCGCCGGUUAUUAUGAUUGCCGAGAAAGCUGCAGACAUGAUCAAGGAGGAGUGGAAAUCGUAGAUAUAGACUAUCGAUUGAGUUUGACCGUUUGGUAUUGUCGAAAUGGAAAAUGUUGUCGUUAUAGAUGCUAGAGAAAUUUUCGUUUCUCGAAGAAAUGUUCUAUACUGUUUUCAUAUAGCUCAAGAGAUAGAAUAAUAUCAUGUUUUAAUAUUUAAAAAAGACCUACAAUUGUAACAGCGUCAAGCCCGUCCGCAUCUUCUGAGAGAUACCUCCCGUCUUGUUCGGAAUGGUUCGUCCCUAACCCGAACCAUCCUACUGAAACCCCACCGGUAUUCCUAGAACCGUCGCGACUCCACGAUUGCACCGUUAGUUUUAAGCCGAUUCGUCCGCCAUUAAUUAGUUAAAUAUAAGGAAAUGUAAUCUUAUUCAUAACGUAAUGUAAUAUUAUUCAACCACGUCUUACUUAUUUGAGGCUCCACUAAGAGUCCGUGGAUCGCCGUUUGAAUCGACAGGGUCCAGCGCAAAGUUAGAUAUUUUUUCAUUGUAUGAAUUUCAUUGUAAUAAAUAUUAUGAUUAUAUGGGUGAUAGUAUUACAUUAUAUUAAUAUUUCAAGAUAAUGAUUUGUUUAUAGAGACUUUUUAUUUGCAAAUUACCCCAUCUUAUUUCAAUAAUGGAGAAGUCGAUGUAUUGUAAGUAGGUGCUCAAUGGACCUCUAACUUCGAGACAAUAAAACGGUCUAGAACAUAUCUAGACAAUAAAAACAGUAAGAAAUUAAA
Non-coding RNA from Megalopta genalis, 1428 nucleotides. The record is from RefSeq and is a predicted model, not a curated record. NCBI's taxonomy places the organism in Eukaryota, Metazoa, Arthropoda, Insecta, Hymenoptera, Halictidae.